Molecule: ribosomal RNA, 652 nt
Filed under: Salmonella enterica subsp. arizonae
Lineage: Bacteria; Pseudomonadati; Pseudomonadota; Gammaproteobacteria; Enterobacterales; Enterobacteriaceae
Description: bacterial SSU rRNA
Rfam family: Bacterial small subunit ribosomal RNA
Source: RNAcentral
AAAUUGAAGAGUUUGAUCAUGGCUCAGAUUGAACGCUGGCGGCAGGCCUAACACAUGCAAGUCGAACGGUAACAGGAAGCAGCUUGCUGCUUCGCUGACGAGUGGCGGACGGGUGAGUAAUGUCUGGGAAACUGCCUGAUGGAGGGGGAUAACUACUGGAAACGGUGGCUAAUACCGCAUAAUGUCGCAGGACCAAAGAGGGGGACCUUCGGGCCUCUUGCCAUCAGAUGUGCCCAGAUGGGAUUAGCUUGUUGGUGAGGUAACGGCUCACCAAGGCGACGAUCCCUAGCUGGUCUGAGAGGAUGACCAGCCACACUGGAACUGAGACACGGUCCAGACUCCUACGGGAGGCAGCAGUGGGGAAUAUUGCACAAUGGGCGCAAGCCUGAUGCAGCCAUGCCGCGUGUAUGAAGAAGGCCUUCGGGUUGUAAAGUACUUUCAGCGGGGAGGAAGGUGUUGUGGUUAAUAACCGCAGCAAUUGACGUUACCCGCAGAAGAAGCACCGGCUAACUCCGUGCCAGCAGCCGCGGUAAUACGGAGGGUGCAAGCGUUAAUCGGAAUUACUGGGCGUAAAGCGCACGCAGGCGGUCUGUCAAGUCGGAUGUGAAAUCCCCGGGCUCAACCUGGGAACUGCAUUCGAAACUGGCAGGCU